RNAcentral lists this ribosomal RNA (491 nucleotides) under uncultured bacterium. RNAcentral's name for it is "partial 16S ribosomal RNA". It matches the Rfam family "Bacterial small subunit ribosomal RNA", at positions 29 to 507 of the family's 1533-position model. The record is from RNAcentral.
AGUGAACGCUGGCGGUAGGCCUAACACAUGCAAGUCGAACGGCAGCACAGUAAGAGCUUGCUCUUACGGGUGGCGAGUGGCGGACGGGUGAGGAAUACAUCGGAAUCUACUUUUUCGUGGGGGAUAACGUAGGGAAACUUACGCUAAUACCGCAUACGACCUACGGGUGAAAGCAGGGAGCUUCGGACCUUGCGCGAUUGAAUGCGGCGAUGUCGGAGUAGCUAGUUGGCGGGGUAAAUGCCCACCAAGGCGACGAUCCGUAGCUGGUCUGAGAGGGUGAUCAGCCACACUGGAACUGAGACACGGUCCAGACUCCUACGGGCGGCAGCAGUGGGGAAUAUUGGACGAUGGGCGCAAGCCUGAUCCAGCCAUACCGCGUGGGUGAAGAAGGCCUUCGGGUUGUAAAGGCCUUUUGUUGGGAAAGAAAAGAAGCAGGUUAAUACCCCGCUGUUUUGACGGUACCCAAAGAAUAAGCACCGGCUAACUUCGUG